Molecule: ribosomal RNA, 496 nt
Filed under: uncultured bacterium
Lineage: Bacteria
Description: partial 16S ribosomal RNA
Rfam family: Bacterial small subunit ribosomal RNA
Source: RNAcentral
AUUGAACGCCGGCGGCAUGCUUUACACAUGCAAGUCGAACGGUAGAGGGGGCAACCCCUUGAGAGUGGCGAACGGGUGAGUAAUGCAUCGGAACGUGCCCAGUCGUGGGGGAUAACGCAGCGAAAGCUGUGCUAAUACCGCAUACGAUCUCUGGAUGAAAGCGGGGGACCGAAAGGCCUCGCGCGAUUGGAUCGGCCGAUGUCAGAUUAGGUAGUUGGUGGGGUAAAGGAUCACCAAGCCAACGAUCUGUAGCUGGUCUGAGAGGACGACCAGCCACACUGGGACUGAGACACGGCCCAGACUCCUACGGGAGGCAGCAGUGGGGAAUUUUGGACAAUGGGCGCAAGCCUGAUCCAGCAAUGCCGCGUGCAGGAAGAAGGCCUUCGGGUUGUAAACUGCUUUUGUACGGAACGAAAAGGUCUGGGUUAAUACCCUGGGCACAUGACGGUACCGUAAGAAUAAGCACCGGCUAACUACGUGCCAGCCGCCGCCGUAA